CGAGGCCUCCUGGUGCUCAGCCAGGAUCCUGUGAUGGCUGACGGUGUGCAGAGCCUGACUCAAAGCCUCCUGGAUCUACUGUGGGAUGCAGACGGAGAGCUGGUCAGGAUGGCCCUCUCUGUAUUCCUCAAUGAAGUCCAGGCCAGAGGCAUCUCAAUCUCCACCCCCACUGCCCUGGAGCUGGCUGAGGCACUCCAGACACUCUUUGGCUACAUAAGGCUCUGUGCCCCCCCCACAGGCGCUGGGUGCUGCCAGAAAACUGUAGCCUGUGGAUUUGCAGGCCUGUGGCCCGGUGGGCCUGGAGCAGCCGGUGCUGAGGUGUUUUCCUCUUCCUUUCCAUCAGGACAAUAUCCAUGUGCAGCUGCUCUCCAUUGACCUCUUCUGAAAGGUGUUGAAGUUGGUAGUGGAGGAGGGAAAACAACCCCUGCAGACACACGUGAUCCAGAGCCUGCUGCCACUCUUCUUCCUCUCGCAUGAUGAGAAGGAGCAUCUGGCAGAUGCCUCUUGGGAAGUGCUGAUUCGUGCACUCAGGUUCCUGAAGAGAAGGGAUCUCAAGAACCUGCUGGAGGCAGACAAGCCGUGGUGGUUCUGUGACUGCCUGGUGGAAAGCGAGAAGAAACACAUAGUGGAGUUCAUGUGCCAGGCCCUACCAUACCUGGAGAGCCCACAGGAACCCCUGUGAGAAUUGGCCCUCAGGUUCAUUGGGAUCACCGGGAAGUACCUGAGAAAGGGGCAGGAGGAGGACGAGCUCAUCACAGAGGUCAUCACUGACACCCUUCAAGGCAUGACUGCUGACAGCCCUGCCAUCUCAAGGUGGGCAGUUGAAACCUUGAAAAUCAUCAAGGAUGUUCAGAAAUCUAAACCUAAACCGACACCAAAAUCUAAAUCCACCAGAUUCCGGUAGCCUCCAUUCCUCUCUGUUCCAGCCCUGAGAGGAAUGACCGACGACCUCAGACUCGCCAUCGCAGGCCUGGCCAUUCAAAACUGUACAUGCUAAGAGCUGUACAAACAGCUCCCUGCUCCAGACUCCAGCAGCUCCAAGACUGGCUCUGAAGAGGAAAAUGCCUCUUUUCUGCAAGGACGGCCUUUUACACCAGUGUGGGACUAACAAAUACAUCUAUACAUCUUAUGAAA
Molecule: long non-coding RNA, 1134 nt
Organism: Lepidothrix coronata (blue-crowned manakin)
Lineage: Eukaryota; Metazoa; Chordata; Aves; Passeriformes; Pipridae
Exons: 6
Source: RefSeq, a predicted model, not a curated record